This 272-nucleotide ribosomal RNA is filed under the name uncultured Staphylococcus sp. Its description in RNAcentral is "partial 16S ribosomal RNA". It matches the Rfam family "Bacterial small subunit ribosomal RNA", at positions 89 to 355 of the family's 1533-position model. The record is from RNAcentral. Lineage: Bacteria; Bacillati; Bacillota; Bacilli; Caryophanales; Staphylococcaceae.
ACGUUAGCGGCGGACGGGUGAGUAACACGUGGGUAACCUACCUAUAAGGCUGGGAUAACUUCGGGAAACCGGAGCUAAUACCGGAUAAUAUUUCGAACCGCAUGGUUCGAUAGUGAAAGGUGGUUUUGCUAUCACUUAUAGAUGGACCCGCGCCGUAUUAGCUAGUUGGUAAGGUAACGGCUUACCAAGGCGACGAUACGUAGCCGACCUGAGAGGGUGAUGGCCACACUGGAACUGAGACACGGUCCAGACUCCUACGGGAGGCAGCAGCU